AUGCAGCUCACCCUUCGUUCGACGAUCAUGGCAUCCCACCACCCCCGACAAAGUGGAAAGGCUCGUGCAGGGAGGUCAGGUGCAACAACAAGCUCAUCGGUGCCAAGUCAUUCAUUACCGGUGAUGACCGCCCAUUUGAUUUUGUGGGGCACGGAACACACACCUCAUCCACUACCGCUGGGAACUUUGUUACCAAUGUGUCAUACCAUGGCGUAG
This 216-nucleotide ribosomal RNA is filed under the name Triticum aestivum (bread wheat). RNAcentral's name for it is "partial small subunit ribosomal RNA". Lineage: Eukaryota; Viridiplantae; Streptophyta; Magnoliopsida; Poales; Poaceae. The record is from RNAcentral.